AUCGCUUCUUGGCGUUUUGGCUAAGAUCAAGUGUAUGUUUAUCCUCACAACAUGAUAUAUACAUAUUUGGGUGUGUGCAUGUGUAUGUAUUUAUACACCUGUGAAUACACAUAUUUUACUAUGAAUUUACAAGUCAGUCAUUUAAUAAUGAAUAUUUC
Molecule: small nuclear RNA, 158 nt
Organism: Heterocephalus glaber (naked mole-rat)
Lineage: Eukaryota; Metazoa; Chordata; Mammalia; Rodentia; Bathyergidae
Gene: U2
Rfam family: U2 spliceosomal RNA
About the family: U2 is a small nuclear RNA (snRNA) component of the spliceosome (involved in pre-mRNA splicing). Complementary binding between U2 snRNA (in an area lying towards the 5' end but 3' to hairpin I) and the branchpoint sequence (BPS) of the intron results the bulging out of an unpaired adenosine, on the BPS, which initiates a nucleophilic attack at the intronic 5' splice site, thus starting the first of two transesterification reactions that mediate splicing.
Source: Ensembl